ACCUUUAACCACCGAUCUCUGCUCUCGCAUCGAUGAAGAACGCAGCGAAAUGCGAUAGGUAAUGUGAAUUGCAGAAUCCAGUGAUUCAUCGAAUCUUUGACGCACUUGGCGCUCCUUGGUAUUCCGGGAGGCAUGCCUGUUUGAGUGUCAUUA
This 153-nucleotide ribosomal RNA is filed under the name Typhula ishikariensis var. ishikariensis. RNAcentral's name for it is "5.8S ribosomal RNA". It matches the Rfam family "5.8S ribosomal RNA". Rfam says of the family: 5.8S ribosomal RNA (5.8S rRNA) is a component of the large subunit of the eukaryotic ribosome. It is transcribed by RNA polymerase I as part of the 45S precursor that also contains 18S and 28S rRNA. Lineage: Eukaryota; Fungi; Basidiomycota; Agaricomycetes; Agaricales; Typhulaceae. The record is from RNAcentral.